Molecule: non-coding RNA, 96 nt
Organism: Amylocarpus encephaloides
Lineage: Eukaryota; Fungi; Ascomycota; Leotiomycetes; Helotiales
Source: the annotation of a GenBank genome assembly
GGCAACUUGGCCGAGCGGUUAUGGCGCCAGUUUCAGGUCAACUUGAAAUCUAUAUACUGGUUCGAAAGAGCGUGGGUUCGAAUCCCACAGUUGUCA